AAUGCUUUUGUUCGUUACCAAACGUUGGACAUGGCUCACCGAGCUAAGGUUGAGUUGUCCGGUCAGUACAUUGCCAAGUUCCAGCGCAAGAUAGGAUACGGUAAAGCUAUUCCGACGACCAGAAUUUGGGUUGGUGGUCUUGGCGCAUGGACUUCGGUUACUCAGUUGGAGCGUGAGUUCGACCGUUUUGGUGCCAUCAAAAAAAUCGAAUAUAACAAAGGGGACACCCAUGCCUACAUUCUGUAGCAUUCUAUUGAUGCUGCUACGGCUGCUGUGAAGGAAAUGCGUGGAUUCCCGUUAGGGGCACCGGAUCGUCGUAUUCGUAUCGAUUUUGCUGAUAACGGAACAACACCAUCGUUUUCAAAGCGCAGUGGAGGUUUUGACGAAAGGUGAGUAUCGUCGCGGCCCCGACUACGAAUAUCAAAUCAAAUCAAUUCUUUUGGGACUCCAAUACGGGGAGCACCACUGGCAAAUUUGAUGCCUACGACGACGACGGAAUAUUCGGCACCGAUUUGAAAGACGAAUGACGACUCAAAGGAUUUUCUGACCACAACAAAAAAUAACAGCAUGCAGAUAAGUAGGUAUCAACAACUAGUCGGUGGAGUUUAACGAACGGCAACACCCCAGAUCGAAAGCUAGAUAUUGACCAAAUGCUGCCCCUAUUUGCAUAAGCGUUCCAUGUCAGCUUUCUCCAACUUAAGUAAUAUGCUGUUGAAUUUUUCAAACUCAUUUUACAUGGAGAAAUACAAAACAAUUUUAGACAUAUUUCUGAAAGGAAAUCAAAAUUGUCAAAAAUCAUCGACAUGAGGCUCGGGACUAUAUAUGCCUUGCGCCUUGGCGAAACUCAGAACUUCGAAUUCCAGAACAAAUACCCAGGCCAAGUGGGCUUACCUUCGUUUGCUGAACUAGGUUGAGAAGCUUUCAAAACAGAUAUCAGCAGCACUAGACUAUACAUUACAUAUCGAAUGAUCCUAAACGAAGAUGAUCAACCCUCCCUCCGUUUCAAUGAGCGUAAAAUCUGAAAACUUAUGACAGUAAAGUAUUUAAAAUAAGAGAAUAAAAUAAAUAUAACAA
Long non-coding RNA from Armigeres subalbatus, 1074 nucleotides. RefSeq lists it as uncharacterized. The record is from RefSeq and is a predicted model, not a curated record. Lineage: Eukaryota; Metazoa; Arthropoda; Insecta; Diptera; Culicidae. The transcript has 2 exons.